Molecule: ribosomal RNA, 500 nt
Filed under: uncultured Glomeromycotina
Lineage: Eukaryota; Fungi; Glomeromycota
Description: partial small subunit ribosomal RNA
Rfam family: Eukaryotic small subunit ribosomal RNA
Source: RNAcentral
CCAAUAGCGUAUAUUAAAGUUGUUGCAGUUAAAAAGCUCGUAGUUGAAUUUCAGGGUUAGUAGGUCGGUCGUGCCACUGGUAUGUACUGGCUUUACUGAUUCCUCCUUCUUGAAGAACUGUAAUGUCAUUAAUUUGGUGUUGCAGGGAAACAGGACUGUUACUUUGAAAAAAUUAGAGUGUUUAAAGCAGGCUAACGCUUGAAUACAUUAGCAUGGAAUAAUGAAAUAGGACGUUUGAUCCUAUUUUGUUGGUUUCUAGGAUUGACGUAAUGAUUAAUAGGGAUAGUUGGGGGCAUUAGUAUUCAAUUGUCAGAGGUGAAAUUCUUGGAUUUAUUGAAGACUAACUACUGCGAAAGCAUUUGCCAAGGAUGUUUUCAUUAAUCAAGAACGAAAGUUAGGGGAUCGAAGACGAUCAGAUACCGUCGUAGUCUUAACCAUAAACUAUGCCGACUAGGGAUCGGAUGAUGUUAAUUUUUUAAUGACUCAUUCGGCGCCUUACG